This 253-nucleotide ribosomal RNA is filed under the name uncultured bacterium. RNAcentral's name for it is "partial 16S ribosomal RNA". It matches the Rfam family "Bacterial small subunit ribosomal RNA", at positions 524 to 776 of the family's 1533-position model. The record is from RNAcentral.
UACGGAGGGUGCAAGCGUUGCUCGGAAUUAUUGGGCGUAAAGGGCAGGUAGGUGGUCUCAUUUGUCUGGGGUGAAAGCCUUGAGCUUAACUCAAGAAGUGCCCCAGAAACGGUGAGACUGGAGUCCUGGAGAGGGUCGUGGAACUCCCGGUGUAGCGGUGAAAUGCGUAGAGAUCGGGAGGAACACCAGAGGCGAAAGCGGCGACCUGGACAGGUACUGACACUCAACUGCGAAAGCGUGGGGAGCAAACAGG